RNAcentral lists this transfer RNA (59 nucleotides) under Ciona intestinalis (vase tunicate). It matches the Rfam family "tRNA". From Rfam's summary of the family: Transfer RNA (tRNA) molecules are approximately 80 nucleotides in length. Their secondary structure includes four short double-helical elements and three loops (D, anti-codon, and T loops). Further hydrogen bonds mediate the characteristic L-shaped molecular structure. tRNAs have two regions of fundamental functional importance: the anti-codon, which is responsible for specific mRNA codon recognition, and the 3' end, to which the tRNAs corresponding amino acid is attached (by aminoacyl-tRNA synthetases). tRNAs cope with the degeneracy of the genetic code in two manners: having more than one tRNA (with a specific anti-codon) for a particular amino acid; and 'wobble' base-pairing, i.e. permitting non-standard base-pairing at the 3rd anti-codon position. Lineage: Eukaryota; Metazoa; Chordata; Ascidiacea; Phlebobranchia; Cionidae. The record is from Rfam by way of RNAcentral.
GGUAGCGUGGCCGAGUGGUAUAAGGCGCUGGUUUUUGGGUUCGAAUCCCACCGCUGCCA